RNAcentral lists this ribosomal RNA (329 nucleotides) under uncultured eukaryote. RNAcentral describes it as "partial 18S ribosomal RNA". It matches the Rfam family "Eukaryotic small subunit ribosomal RNA", at positions 1470 to 1796 of the family's 1831-position model. The record is from RNAcentral.
CCCUUAGAUGUUCUGGGCCGCACGCGCGCUACACUGACGAUGGCAACGAGUUUUUCCUUCGCCGAAAGGUGUGGGUAAUCUUUUGAAACAUCGUCGUGCUGGGGAUAGAUCAUUGCAAUUUUUGAUCUUGAACGAGGAAUUCCUAGUAAGCGCGAGUCAUCCGCUCGCGUUGAUUACGUCCCUGCCCUUUGUACACACCGCCCGUCGCUACUACCGAUUGAAUGGUUUAGUGAGGACUCCUGAUUGGCGCCGCCGCCCCGGCAACGGAGCAGCGGACUGCCGAAAAGUUGUUCAAACUUGAUCAUUUAGAGGAAGUAAAAGUCGUAACA